This is a long non-coding RNA of Hibiscus syriacus, 112 nucleotides long. RefSeq lists it as uncharacterized. The record is from RefSeq and is a predicted model, not a curated record. NCBI's taxonomy places the organism in Eukaryota, Viridiplantae, Streptophyta, Magnoliopsida, Malvales, Malvaceae. The transcript has 2 exons.
CACAAAAAAUAGUUGUUUUACCCACUCAGCAUUCCUAGCAUACUCCAUUCUAUUUAAGUACCCUAAAGUCUAAAUCAAGGUAGGAUAUGCUUUUCUUCUUAUGCUUAACAAG